CUCUGUAAAGGUAGCCAAUGUAGCGGAUGGCACUGGGCUGUCCUGAAAAUGGCAUGUGUAUAACUGCAUUUGGGUAAACUGCUGGUUUUUUAUGUGUUUAAAUAAAGUGUAUUCGUCUGAUUGUUCUGUAGAAUCAUUCGAAUAAACUAAGGGAAUGAAACUACCAAACAAUCAGACCUCCCCUGUGUGAAGUGUGCCUUCAAUUAACAAGCUAUGCAGUAGGUCCUUUGUUUUCGGGGUGGCCGCCAUUCGGGAAAUGAACACGUGGUGGCGGCCAUUUUAAAACUCCCGAAUGAUGCGUUUUGCCGUCGAGUGUAUGGAACCCAAAUCGGACACUCGGCUAGGCGAACACCGCUGAGACCUCCACAAGCCCGGUCCAUUCGGUUCCAACCUACCGAACGGCCCCUCGUUUGGUAGACAGAAACAACCGAAUGAGGGGAUUCAGGCGAACCCUACCUGAUCUCUGCAGUCUUAGCCUUUCGUGUAAUUUAUUCCCUUAUACUGGGACCGACCGCAGUGCCCCAUCGCAUGGAACCCAAUUCGGCUGUUCUCUCCAGCGCGGUCGGUCUUUUUAGUACUUCCAUAAAUUUCCCGAACCCCUGGUCUGAUCUGGGUGAGUUUUGGAUAUGUUGCUCACCCAGAUCAGGGCUACCAGGGGAUGUGCCAUUUAAAGGGGUACCCCUAGGUUUAGGGGUACAUCCAGAAACUGGGGGAAUUUGUGUACAGUAUAAGGGGAUUAUGAGUCAGGCUGAGGGGAGGAGAUGUGUGGGAGGUUGCUAUUGGGUACUGUAAUAAUUGAUGAAGAUCCCUCCCUUGCAUGGGAGCAUGCUUUAGAGGGCCACUGUGAAAUAAAGGUUUUCAGUUCUGCUCCUGAUGCUGUGUGUCGUCCAGUUAUUGGGAUUGCUGUUGGGAUACUGUUGGAUUAUUU
Pelobates cultripes (western spadefoot toad) is the source of this 928-nucleotide non-coding RNA. NCBI's taxonomy places the organism in Eukaryota, Metazoa, Chordata, Amphibia, Anura, Pelobatidae. The record is from the annotation of a GenBank genome assembly.